RNAcentral lists this long non-coding RNA (282 nucleotides) under Elaeis guineensis (African oil palm). Its description in RNAcentral is "long non-coding RNA (EGUI_LNC025917)". Lineage: Eukaryota; Viridiplantae; Streptophyta; Magnoliopsida; Arecales; Arecaceae. The record is from RNAcentral.
CAGUGAUUGAACAGUCUCUAUAUUUUCUAUAUCAUAAACUUUUUACAAUGUCGCAUGUCAUACAUUCACUGAAAUAUUUAGCCAAAAUAUUUAAUUUCUAAUGAAGUGACAAUAGUAUAUACCUUGCAUUCGAUUAUUAUAUCCUAAACAAUUCCAAUGAGAUGGUUGCGCAGAGAGAAAGGGUGGGAAGGAGAGAAGUAAAUGUCGAUGUGAUCUUUGUACCUGAGAGAGAGUCUGCAAUGUGUUUGCACAGAAGAGAGAGCCACUGACUUAUUUGCCAUG